GGGGCCGUAGUCUAGCUUGGUUAUGAUGCUAGCCUGGGGUGCUAGAGGUCGCCGGUUCAAGUCCGGCCGGCCCCACCA
Molecule: transfer RNA, 78 nt
Filed under: Nitrososphaerota archaeon
Lineage: Archaea; Thermoproteati; Nitrososphaerota
Also listed under: 3 other names
Description: Thaumarchaeota archaeon tRNA-Pro
Rfam family: tRNA
About the family: Transfer RNA (tRNA) molecules are approximately 80 nucleotides in length. Their secondary structure includes four short double-helical elements and three loops (D, anti-codon, and T loops). Further hydrogen bonds mediate the characteristic L-shaped molecular structure. tRNAs have two regions of fundamental functional importance: the anti-codon, which is responsible for specific mRNA codon recognition, and the 3' end, to which the tRNAs corresponding amino acid is attached (by aminoacyl-tRNA synthetases). tRNAs cope with the degeneracy of the genetic code in two manners: having more than one tRNA (with a specific anti-codon) for a particular amino acid; and 'wobble' base-pairing, i.e. permitting non-standard base-pairing at the 3rd anti-codon position.
Source: RNAcentral